GGAUAACUUGGCAUCGGUAGGCCAAGCUACUUGCUAUGUAGUGAUAUUUAUCUUCAGUGUUCGAUUCACUGGUUAUCCG
Non-coding RNA from [Candida] anglica, 79 nucleotides. The record is from the annotation of a GenBank genome assembly. NCBI's taxonomy places the organism in Eukaryota, Fungi, Ascomycota, Pichiomycetes, Serinales, Debaryomycetaceae.